UCCAAAUAACUUAUUCACCGAAUUUCCAUGGGCUCGUUGCAUCGCUCUCCAUCUUCUCCUCCAUCCAUGCCCGAGGUAGAAUUCCUUCAAUCUGUAGAGAUGGGAUUAAACCCGUGAGUUGAAAAACUCAAUGGGUGUCAUAGGUGCAUUCGUGAUCAAGCUAUACAUUUCAAAACAUUAACUUUAUAACUUUUCAUACAUGCCGUACCCGGAGGCACCAUUUGACAU
Molecule: long non-coding RNA, 228 nt
Filed under: Olea europaea (common olive)
Lineage: Eukaryota; Viridiplantae; Streptophyta; Magnoliopsida; Lamiales; Oleaceae
Description: long non-coding RNA (OEUR_LNC010579)
Source: RNAcentral